CAGCCGCCGCGGGAAUACGUAGGUGGCAAGCGUUGUCCGGAAUUAUUGGGCGUAAAGGGCUCGCAGGCGGUUUCUUAAGUCUGGUGUGAAAGCCCCCGGCUCAACCGGGGAGGGUCAUUGGAAACUGGGAAACUUGAGUGCAGAAGAGGAGAGUGGAAUUCCACGUGUAGCGGUGAAAUGCGUAGAGAUGUGGAGGAACACCAGUGGCGAAGGCGACUCACUGGUCUGUAACUGACGCUGAGGAGCGAAAGCGUGGGGAGCGAACAGGAUUAGAUACCCGCGUAGUCCCUGUCUCUUAUAC
Molecule: ribosomal RNA, 301 nt
Filed under: uncultured bacterium
Lineage: Bacteria
Description: partial 16S ribosomal RNA
Rfam family: Bacterial small subunit ribosomal RNA
Source: RNAcentral